Molecule: ribosomal RNA, 438 nt
Filed under: uncultured bacterium
Lineage: Bacteria
Description: partial 16S ribosomal RNA
Rfam family: Bacterial small subunit ribosomal RNA
Source: RNAcentral
CUACGGGAGGCUCCAGUGAGGAAUAUUGCACAAUGGGGGGAACCCUGAUGCAGCAACGCCGCGUGGAGGAUGACGCAUUUCGGUGUGUAAACUCCUUUUAUAUGUCAAGAAAAUGACGGUAGCAUAUGAAUAAGCACCGGCUAACUCCGUGCCAGCAGCCGCGGUAAUACGGAGGGUGCAAGCGUUACUCGGAAUCACUGGGCGUAAAGGACGCGUAGGCGGGUUGGAAAGUCAGGUGUGAAAUCCUACAGCUUAACUGUAGAACUGCAGUGAAACUUCUAAUCUAGAGUAUGGGAGGGGGAGAUGGAAUUAGUGGUGUAGGGGUAAAAUCCGUAGAUAUCACUAGGAAUACCUAAAGCGAAGGCGAUCUCCUGGAACAUUACUGACGCUAAGGCGUGAAAGCGUGGGGAGCAAACAGGAUUAGAUACCCCGGUAGUC